GGGGGACGUCGCUAUGGGGCGCUAUGGGGAUGGGGAGGUUGCUAUGGGGAUGCGGUUGUUGCUAUGGUGACAGGGACGUCGCUAUGGGGAUGAGGAGGUUGCUAUGGGGAUGGGGAUGUCGCUAUGGGGCACAGGGAGGUCGACUAUGGGGCGCUAUGGGGCGGGGGGACGUCGCUAUGGGGCGCUAUGGGGGGUGGAGAUGUCGCUAUGGGGCUGGGGAUGUUGCUAUGGUGACAGGGAUGUUGCUAUGGGGCAUGGGGACGUCACUAUGGGGCACUAUGGGGAUGGAGACGCCACUAUGGGGCGCUAUGGGGAUGGGGAUGUCGCUAUGGGGAUGGGGAUGUUGCUAUGGGGCACAGGGAGGUCGACUAUGGGGCGCUAUGGGGCGGGGGGACGUCGCUAUGGGACGCUAUGGGGGGUGGAGAUGUCGCUAUGGGGAUGGGGAUGUUGCUAUGGGGAUGGGGAUGUCGCUAUGGGGAUGGGGCUGUUGCUAUGGGGAUGGGGACGUCGCUAUGGGGAUGGGGCUGUCGCUAUGGGGCAGGGGGCCGUCGCUAUGGGGCAGGGGGCCAUUGCUAUGGGGCAUAGAUAUGUCGCUAUGGGGACGGGGAUGUUGCUAUGGUGACAGGGAUGUUGCUAUAGGGACAAGGAUGUUGCUAUGGGGCAUAGAUAUGUCACUAUGGGGUUGGGGCCGUCGCUAUGGGGCAGGGGGACAUUGCUAUGGGGCAGGGGGCCAUUGCUAUGGGGCAGGGGCCUCGCACCAGGCACGGCGGGGGGCAUUGCUAUGGGGAUGGGGCCGUCGCUAUGGGGCAGGGGCCGUCGCUAUGGGGUUGGGGCUGCUGCUAUGGGGAUGGGGCUGUCGCUAUGGGGCAGGGGGACAUCGCUAUGGGGCACAGAGAUGUCGCUAUGGGGAUGGGGCUGUCGCUAUGGGGCAGGGGGCCGUCGCUAUGGGGCAGGGGCUGUCGCUAUGGGGCAGGGGGCCAUCGCUAUGGGGCAGGGGGCCGUCGCUAUGGGGCAUAGAUAUGUCGCUAUGGGGCUGGGGAUGUUGCUAUGGGGAUGGGGCUGUCGCUAUGGGGAUGGGGCUGUCGCUAUGGGGCAGGGGGCCGUCGCUAUGGGGCAGGGGUCCGUUGCUAUGGGGCAGGGGCCUCGCACCGGGCACGGCGGGGGGCAUUGCUAUGGGGAUGGGGACGUUGCUAUGGUGA
Molecule: long non-coding RNA, 1199 nt
Filed under: Numida meleagris (helmeted guineafowl)
Lineage: Eukaryota; Metazoa; Chordata; Aves; Galliformes; Numididae
Description: lncRNA (ENSNMEG00000001509.1)
Source: RNAcentral